RNAcentral lists this ribosomal RNA (305 nucleotides) under uncultured bacterium. Its description in RNAcentral is "bacterial SSU rRNA". It matches the Rfam family "Bacterial small subunit ribosomal RNA", at positions 335 to 632 of the family's 1533-position model. The record is from RNAcentral.
AUCCCUAUGGGAGGCAGCAGUAGGGAAUCUUCCACAAUGGGCGAAAGCCUGAUGGAGCAACGCCGCGUGGGUGAAGAAGGUCUUCGGAUCGUAAAACCCUGUUGUUAGAGAAGAAAGUGCGUGAGAGUAACUGUUCACGUUUCGACGGUAUCUAACCAGAAAGCCACGGCUAACUACGUGCCAGCAGCCGCGGUAAUACGUAGGCGGCAAGCGUUAUCCGGAUAUCUUGGGCGUAAAGGGAACGCAGGCGGUCUUUUAAGUCUGAUGUGAUAGUCUUUGGCUUAACCGGAGUAGUGCAUUGGAAA